GACGAACGCUGGCGGCGUGCCUAAUACAUGCAAGUAGAACGCUGAAGGAGGAGCUUGCUUCUCUGGAUGAGUUGCGAACGGGUGAGUAACGCGUAGGUAACCUGCCUGGUAGCGGGGGAUAACUAUUGGAAACGAUAGCUAAUACCGCAUAAUAGUAGAUGUUGCAUGACAUUUGCUUAAAAGGUGCAAUUGCAUCACUACCAGAUGGACCUGCGUUGUAUUAGCUAGUUGGUGGGGUAACGGCUCACCAAGGCGACGAUACAUAGCCGACCUGAGAGGGUGAUCGGCCACACUGGGACUGAGACACGGCCCAGACUCCUACGGGAGGCAGCAGUAGGGAAUCUUCGGCAAUGGACGGAAGUCUGACCGAGCAACGCCGCGUGAGUGAAGAAGGUUUUCGGAUCGUAAAGCUCUGUUGUAAGAGAAGAACGAGUGUGAGAGUGGAAAGUUCACACUGUGACGGUAUCUUACCAGAUAGGGACGGCUAACUACGUG
Molecule: ribosomal RNA, 495 nt
Filed under: uncultured bacterium
Lineage: Bacteria
Description: partial 16S ribosomal RNA
Rfam family: Bacterial small subunit ribosomal RNA
Source: RNAcentral